UACGUAGGGUGCAAGCGUUAAUCGGAAUUACUGGGCGUAAAGCGUGCGCAGGCGGUCUGUUAAGUCCGAUGUGAAAUCCCCGGGCUUAACCUGGGAACUGCAUUGGUGACUGGCAGGCUUUGAGUGUGGCAGAGGGAGGUAGAAUUCCACGUGUAGCAGUGAAAUGCGUAGAGAUGUGGAGGAAUACCGAUGGCGAAGGCAGCCUCCUGGGCCAACACUGACGCUCAUGCACGAAAGCGUGGGGAGCAAACAGG
Molecule: ribosomal RNA, 254 nt
Filed under: uncultured bacterium
Lineage: Bacteria
Description: partial 16S ribosomal RNA
Rfam family: Bacterial small subunit ribosomal RNA
Source: RNAcentral